Acanthosepion pharaonis is the source of this 112-nucleotide non-coding RNA. Lineage: Eukaryota; Metazoa; Mollusca; Cephalopoda; Sepiida; Sepiidae. The record is from the annotation of a GenBank genome assembly.
ACGGCCACAUUACAUUAAGACUCCGGUUACCGUAUGAUCGCCGAAGUUAAGCAACGUCGAGCUUGGUUAGUAUCUAGAUGGGUAACCGCUUGGGUGUGCCAGGUGCUGUAUG